Ostrea edulis (European flat oyster) is the source of this 2520-nucleotide long non-coding RNA. RefSeq lists it as uncharacterized. Lineage: Eukaryota; Metazoa; Mollusca; Bivalvia; Ostreida; Ostreidae. The record is from RefSeq and is a predicted model, not a curated record. The transcript is spliced from 4 exons.
AGGGUGCAGGACUUUUCGGCACCAAGACGUUUCGGCACUUUAUUAUUAAGACGUUUCGGCACCAAGAUGUUUCGGUACCACGACGUUUCGGCACUUACUUUAAGAUGUUUCGGCACCAACAAUUAUUUUUUAUUUGGCACUGAUUUAUAAUUGAUUUGAUAAUACAUUAUUUGAUUUUAAUCUGAAUUUUAUAUUAUACAUUAAUUUGCUAUUAUAUACAAACUUCGGAUAAUUGAAAAUCUUUUUCGGGGGGGGGGGGGGGGGUGUAUAACAAAGCAAUUUAAAUGGGCCCUCCGUUGAAUGUGUAAAUUGUAAAAACAACAACACCCAUAUCCUUCUCCCUAUUCCGUGACUAGGUGCUAAUUAGGAGGAGAUAAUGAAGAGUCCCCUGGUACACAAUGAGGGCUUCACAUCUCAUUUCUGAAGAGAAAACCAACGAUGUCAGGUCAGUAUGAAUUAAAUUAGAUGCAUAUAUAUUUUAAAUUAGAUAAAAAAGAUAUAGUAUAUCUUAUUUUUAUGUCCCACUCGAUGGUUGGAUUGUUAUAUAUUAUACCAGCUUUGUUUGAAGCAUUUUAACUAACGAACAUUGACAAAAAUAUGAUGGGUAAAUCAUCAUUAAUUUCAAUUUCAGAUAAAUUUUGUUGUACAGUGUAUAUUUAGUUGUAUGUCACAUGUGAACAUACAUGCAGCACAUUGUUCCUUAUUUCUAAGAUAUAUUUUAGAUCUUUAGAUCUCUUAGUUUUUUUUUAAUUGUGUUAAUUUUUGGUAAAAAAAAUAAAUCAAAAACCCAAACAUUUUCUCUGAUCUAUAGACAUUCCAUAACUUAAUUGUUGAUGGUAAAAAGAUAUAGCCUGCAACUGUUCUAGUGAUUUAUAUAUGAAACACACCCAUUCUCUGUCACCCAUAAUAAAUGCAUUUCAUGUUUCUAUUUGGUGAAAGAAUAUAGUAGUCUAAUGUUACCCUUCUUUCAUAUAGGUAAAUAAUCCUAAAUAACAGAAAAAUAGAGGUGACAUAGUUACUAUAGCAAAAGGCAUUUCAAAACGAAAAUUAUUAUGCCGCAAUUUAAGAACUUUGAAUGGAAACAGAGUCUUGGAGUAUAUAUUCCAUGUAGCUGGAAAACUACUCCUUGGACGGAGAAAAAAAUAUUUCUGGCAUGGUAUUCUAUUGUUACGCUUAAAUGUCAUAUAUCAAAUAUUAAUAUUGAUUACGUUUUCUACAUUUGUAAUAAUAAUAGCAAUUCUGAUAUAUUUUUUUCAAUAAGUAAUUUAAAUAUAUCACUAUUUGCAUUAUAAUAUGUCCAUUGUUUAACAAAAUGGGGGCAGCUCUUACCCCCAUCCCUCGAUUCUACAUGCUUGAUAUUUUAUAGAGUCGCAAAUAAAAAGUAACAAGUUCUCCUUCCAGAGUUGCAUCUUACGUUAAAUUGCAGAUGCUAUGUACGUUAUCAACAUAAAUAUGUAAUUCUUCUAUACAAAUGAUCUAUUAUAAAUAAAACUUUUAUUACAUCUUAUAGAACCACAUGUACUGAUUCUGAGCAACGUCGUAUCGAAUUGGAAAACCGCUAUAAAACAUUUCAUAUUCCUUAUGUUAUGCGUUAUUCUUUUUAAAAGGUACUUACAAUGUAGCUUUAUAGAAAAAUAAUAAUACUGUAUCAAAUACUAUGGAUAGUUGAUAUAGAUGUCGGGAUUUCACAUGCAUACAAUAAAAUUAUCGGCUAGUUAAAAUGUAAGUUAUUAUUACAAUUAUUUGUGCAUUGAUUUUUUUUUAUUCUCACAGACAAAUGCAUUGCAUGCAAUUAGAGUGUUCGCCCCAGACAAGAGGCCAUCCAGUGUGAAGGAUGUGAACUAUGGCAACACAGAGCAUGUAAUACUGGAAUCAGCCGUGACCAGUAUAGACGAAUAGGGAAACUGCAAGAAGACCUCCAGUGGGUUUGCGCCCGGUGCUUGGAAAAUCCUACUGAUACAGAAGAGUUUGUAGCUGCAGCUGAUGCCACAUUUCACGUGUCAAUAGCCUCCCUUGGUUCAUCAGUUGCUGAACCCGAUGAUGAAGAUGAACAGGAGGAUGAAUCUACAGGAGAACAAACAAUGAUCUAGAAGGUUGGCACAACCAAAUCAACUCUAGAAUGAACUCCAGAGGACGAGUCCCAUUUUACCUCCUAUUACAAGAACUGUACACAGGGUCACUGCCAUCCCCAUGCAGGCCAGGCUGCUGACAGAAGGGAAGAUGGAGAGACUACACAGGAAACAGUCCUCCAGACUCAACGGUAAACUAUUCCAACUUUGGGAGGAAUACAAUGCCAGACAGAUCAGCACCACCCAGCUGCUGAGAAAGUGCUCGUAGUUAUAUGGACCUGUUGACAUUUGAUGUUAAUUUCUGUUCUGUUGUGUUAAGUGUUACUUCAGCGGUGUUGGGGAAAAUGUUUGACUGUAUAAUUCAUUUAUUUAUUUGAGUGAUUGAAAACUGUAUGAUGGUAAAUGUUUGUUUGACAUAAGUACUGCUAAAUAAAACACAUUUAAAAAUGCU